Salvelinus namaycush (lake trout) is the source of this 2043-nucleotide long non-coding RNA. RefSeq lists it as uncharacterized. The transcript is spliced from 3 exons. The record is from RefSeq and is a predicted model, not a curated record. NCBI's taxonomy places the organism in Eukaryota, Metazoa, Chordata, Actinopteri, Salmoniformes, Salmonidae.
CUGUCAGUACUGCAGGACGAGGUGGUGGAGGUACGACAUCUAUAUUAUAAUACUGUCAGUACUGCAGGACGAGGUGGUAGAGGUACGACAUCUAUAUUAUAAUACUGUCAGUACUGCAGGACGAGGUGGUAGAGGUACGACAUCUAUAUUAUAAUACUGUCAGUACUGCAGGACGAGGUGGUAGAGGUACGACAUCUAUAUUAUAAUACUGUCAGUACUGCAGGACGAGGUGGUAGAGGUACGACAUCUAUAUUAUAAUACUGUCAGUACUGCAGGACGAGGUGGUGGAGGUACGACAUCUAUAUUAUAAUACUGUCAGUACUGCAGGACGAGGUGGUGGAGGUACGACAUCUAUAUUAUAAUACUGUCAGUACUGCAGGACGAGGUGGUAGAGGUACGACAUCUAUAUUAUAAUACUGUCAGUACUGCAGGACGAGGUGGUGGAGGUACGACAUCUAUAUUAUAAUACUGUCAGUACUGCAGGACGAGGUGGUGGAGGUACGACAUCUAUAUUAUAAUACUGUCAGUACUGCAGGACGAGGUGGUAGAGGUACGACAUCUAUAUUAUAAUACUGUCAGUACUGCAGGACGAGGUGGUGGAGGUACGACAUCUAUAUUAUAAUACUGUCAGUACUGCAGGACGAGGUGGUAGAGGUACGACAUCUAUAUUAUAAUACUGUCAGUACUGCAGGACGAGGUGGUAGAGGUACGACAUCUAUAUUAUAAUACUGUCAGUACUGCAGGACGAGGUGGUAGAGGUACGACAUCUAUAUUAUAAUACUGUCAGUACUGCAGGACGAGGUGGUGGAGGUACGACAUCUAUAUUAUAAUACUGUCAGUACUGCAGGACGAGGUGGUGGAGGUACGACAUCUAUAUUAUAAUACUGUCAGUACUGCAGGACGAGGUGGUGGAGGUACGACAUCUAUAUUAUAAUACUGUCAGUACUGCAGGACGAGGUGGUAGAGGUACGACAUCUAUAUUAUAAUACUGUCAGUACUGCAGGACGAGGUGGUGGAGGUACGACAUCUAUAUUAUAAUACUGUCAGUACUGCAGGACGAGGUGGUGGAGGUACGACAUCUAUAUUAUAAUACUGUCAGUACUGCAGGACGAGGUACGACAUCUAUAUUAUAAUACUGUCAGUACUGCAGGACGAGGUGGUGGAGGUACGACAUCUAUAUUAUAAUACUGUCAGUACUGCAGGACGAGGUGGUGGAGGUACGACAUCUAUAUUAUAAUACUGUCAGUACUGCAGGACGAGGUGGUGGAGGUACGACAUCUAUAUUAUAAUACUGUCAGUACUGCAGGACGAGGUGGUAGAGGUACGACAUCUAUAUUAUAAUACUGUCAGUACUGCAGGACGAGGUGGUAGAGGUACGACAUCUAUAUUAUAAUACUGUCAGUACUGCAGGACGAGGUGGUAGAGGUACAACAUCUAUAUUAUAAUACUGUCAGUACUGCAGGACGAGGUGGUGGAGGUACGACAUCUAUAUUAUAAUACUGUCAGUACUGCAGGACGAGGUGGUAGAGGUACGACAUCUAUAUUAUAAUACUGUCAGUACUGCAGGACGAGGUGGUAGAGGUACGACAUCUAUAUUAUAAUACUGUCAGUACUGCAGGACGAGGUGGUGGAGGUACGACAUCUAUAUUAUAAUACUGUCAGUACUGCAGGACGAGGUGGUGGAGGUACGACAUCUAUAUUAUAAUACUGUCAGUACUGCAGGACGAGGUGGUGGAGGUACGACAUCUAUAUUAUAAUACUGUCAGUAGUUUGUCUCAUGCAAAAUGAAUGUUAGAUUUAAAUGAUGUAAAUGAACAAUUUGGAACUAUCGUGAACAUAAUGCUGAUAUCUUAACCUAAACCAUUAGUCAAAUUCAUCACAGAAUUGUUAUACAAAUUGAGUACAUUAAGUAAUUCGUUUAAGAAUGAUUACCUGCUGCAUUUAAAGAUAAAUAACCUACAGCACUACAGACUAAACUUCAGCUCCGUCGUCCUUGUGGUGUUGAGAUAUAAACAUAAUCAUCAUAAUUAUUAUCAUUGUGGC